Molecule: ribosomal RNA, 439 nt
Filed under: uncultured bacterium
Lineage: Bacteria
Description: partial 16S ribosomal RNA
Rfam family: Bacterial small subunit ribosomal RNA
Source: RNAcentral
CUACGGGGGGCUGCAGUGAGGAAUAUUGCACAAUGGGGGGAACCCUGAUGCAGCAACGCCGCGUGGAGGAUGACGCAUUUCGGUGUGUAAACUCCUUUUAUAUGUCAAGAAAAUGACGGUAGCAUAUGAAUAAGCGCCGGCUAACUCCGUGCCAGCAGCCGCGGUAAUACGGAGGGCGCAAGCGUUACUCGGAAUCACUGGGCGUAAAGGACGCGUAGGCGGGUUGAAAAGUCAGGUGUGAAAGCCUACAGCUUAACUGUAGAACUGCACUUGAAACUCUCAAUCUAGAGUAUGGGAGGGGCAGAUGGAAUUAGUGGUGUAGGGGUAAAAUCCGUAGAUAUCACUAGGAAUACCUAAAGCGAAGGCGAUCUGCUGGAACAUUACUGACGCUAAGGCGUGAAAGCGUGGGGAGCAAACAGGAUUAGAUACCCCAGGAGUC